AUUGAACGCUGGCGGCAUGCUUUACACAUGCCAGUCGAACGGCAGCGCGGGCUUCGGCCUGGCGGCGAGUGGCGAACGGGUGAGUAAUGCAUCGGAACGUGCCCAGUAGUGGGGGAUAGCCCGGCGAAAGCCGGAUUAAUACCGCAUACGACCUGAGGGUGAAAGCGGGGGACCGAAAGGCCUCGCGCUAUUGGAGCGGCCGAUGUCGGAUUAGCUAGUUGGUGGGGUAAAGGCUUACCAAGGCGACGAUCCGUAGCUGGUCUGAGAGGACGACCAGCCACACUGGGACUGAGACACGGCCCAGACUCCUACGGGAGGCAGCAGUGGGGAAUUUUGGACAAUGGGGGCAACCCUGAUCCAGCCAUGCCGCGUGCGGGAAGAAGGCCUUCGGGUUGGAAACCGCUUUUGUUCGGGAAGAAAUCCUCUGGGCUAAUACCCCGGGGGGAUGACGGUACCGGAAGAAUAAGCACCGGCUAACCACG
Molecule: ribosomal RNA, 482 nt
Filed under: uncultured bacterium
Lineage: Bacteria
Description: partial 16S ribosomal RNA
Rfam family: Bacterial small subunit ribosomal RNA
Source: RNAcentral